UCUGGUGGUUGGAGCGAGGGGGUCACACCUGAUCCCAUUCCGAACUCAGAAGUUAAGCCCUUCAGCGCUGAUGAUACUUGGACAUAAGUCCUGGGAAAGUAGGUCGCCGCCAGAA
This 115-nucleotide ribosomal RNA is filed under the name Candidatus Falkowbacteria bacterium CG1_02_37_21. RNAcentral also lists the same sequence under 2 other names. Lineage: Bacteria; Candidatus Falkowiibacteriota. The record is from RNAcentral.